ACCGUGAAGGCCUGAUUAAUGCAGUCUCCUCUGAACAGUUGAUGUUGAGAUGUGUAUGUUACUUGAACUCUGUGAAGCAUUUAUUUGGGCUGCAAUCUGAGGUGCAGUUAACUCUAACAAUCUUAUCCUUUGCAGCAGAGGUAACUCUGGGUCUUCCUUUCCUGUGGCGGUCCUCAUGAGAGCCAGUUUCAUCAUAGCGCUUAAUGGUUCAUGUCUUAAAGUAAUGAUGGACUGUUGUUUCUCUUUGUUUAUUUGAGCUGUUCUUUCCAUAAUAUGGACUUGGUAUUUUACCAAGCAGGGCUAUGUUCUGUAUACCACCCCUACCUUGUCAGCCAAAUAUUUGACAGUGUAAUCCAACCAAUAGCUCUUUACGAAAGUGAAGAUUAUAAACUGGACAUUAAAAUGUGGGACCAACAUCCAAAUGAAGCCCAACAUGCAGAAUUAUGAAACACACCAACUGAUGCAUGUAUGGCAGAAUUAGGCCGCUUUCCAGUGGUAAUGAAAAUACAGAAAAGUUGGGCUACACCAAAAUUCACCAAAAGUCACACCAAAAGUCUCUAAUUUAAAGCACUUCAAUCCCAAAAGCUGAGCCCAGAAACGAGCCCUCUCAAUCAGCUGGUGUUGGACCUAAACAACCAAGCUGACACCAGCACUGCUUCAAAAGAAAGAAUUCAAAACAACAAAAUCAACCAAUCAAAGAACUCAUAUUAACAACAUUGUAAAAACAAAACAAAAUCCCAAAGCCGACUAAAUUGCUAUCUGGCCCGAAACAGAGAAUAUUAAUUGGCUGAUUCUCUCUACUUUGUCAGAGAUACAAAGCAGAGACAGAUCCUUACCAAGUACAGGCUGAGUGACCACCGAUUGGCAAUAGAAACCGGCAGACAUAAAACGACAUGGCUACCCAAAGAGGAGUGUUCAUGUGGUCACUGCACGACAGGGGAGGUAGAAACAGAGAUUAACUUCCUCCUUUACUGUGAGAAAUAUUCUUCACCAAGAGAUUCAUUAUUCACAGAAAUUAAUACAUUUAUUCAAAAUGUUUACUUAUUAAACACAGAGGGGGAAAAAAUACUCAUGCGCGAAGGAGCAAUGGCUCCUCUUGCAGCCAAAUCUGUAUUUGCCUGCCAUAGCCUGAGGGACACUGAAUAAUAACAUCUGAAUUGUAAACAGUAACUUAUUAUUAGUGUAAUUGUUAUUACUAUUAUUAUUAGUGGUAAUAUUGUUAUUUCUAUUAUUGUUAUUAUCUAUUAUUACUAUUGUUGUGAUUAUUAUUCAAAAUAGUAGCGGUACGGCUAGUAGGGGGGGUGGUAGUGAUAGCAGUUUAAUGAUGGUGGUGGUGGUAGUAAUAUUUUAUUUCUACUAUUGACUGUUAGCGUUAUAUUGUUGUUAUUUUUUUAUUAUUUAUUAUUUUAUUAUAGUGUAUAUUUCAUACAGAGAGAGAGAACUAUAGAGAGGCUGAUGGAGAGAGAGAGGUGUGGAAAGAGAGAAGUAUAGAGAGAGAGGCAGAGAAGUAUAGAGGCAGAGAGAGAAGUAUAGAGAGAGAGAGAGAAGUAUAGAGGCAGAGAGAGAGAGAGAAGUAUAGAGAGGCAGAGAGAAAGAGAGAGAAGUGUAAAGAGGCAGAGAAAGAGAGAGAGAGAGAGGCAGAGAAGUAUAGAGGCAGAGAAAGAGAGAGAAGUAUAGAGAGACAGAGAGAGACAGAGACAGAAAGAGUCAUGUGCGCUGCAUUGUAGCCUCAGUUACAGUCAGUACAGAGUCACAGUCGCGCAAUAGCCAGUUGCACUGCAGGUGCUCUACUUGGAGAGAAGAACAACGUCGUUGUAGUGUUGUUCUGCUGUUAUGUAAGCCUGUCUCAAGGUGACCAUGAAUGGCUGGGUGUAUUCAGUCACAGACAUGAGGUGCAUUCAAAAAGGGAAAUACACUGAACAACAAUAUAAACGCAACAUGUAAAGUGCUGGUCCCAUGUUUCAUGAGUUAAAGAAAAAGAUCCCAGAAAUGUUCCAUAUGCUCAAAAAAUGUAUUCCUCUAUAACGUUGCACACAAUUUUGUUUACAUCCUGUUAGUGAGCAUUUUUUCUUUGCCAAGAUAAUCCAUCCACCUGAACAGUGUGGCAUGUCAAGAAGCUGAUUAAACCACAUGAUCAUUACAGAGGUGCAACUUGUGCUGGGGACAAUAAAAGGCCACUCUAAAAUGUGCAGUAUUGUCACUCAAAACAAUGUCACAGAUGUGCAAUUGGCAUGCUGACUGCAGGAAGAGCUGUUGCCAGAUAAUUGAAUGUUAAUUUCUCUAUCUUAAGCCGCCUCCAACUUCAUUUGGUAGUACGUCCAUCCAGCCUCACAACCGCAAACCACAUGUGGUUGAGCGGUUUGCUGGUAUCAAUGUUGUGAACAGAGUGCUCCAUGUUGGCGGCUGGGUUAUGAUAUGGGCAGGUUUACGGUACAGACAACAAACACAAUUGCAUUUUAUCGAUGGCAAUUUGAAAGCACAGAGACACUGUGAAGAGAUCCUAAGGCCCAUUGUCGUGCCAUUCAUCUGACGCCAUCACCUCAGGUUUCAGCAUGAUAAUGCACGGCCCCAUGUCACAAGGAUCUGUACACAAUUCCUGGAAGCUGAAAAUGUCCCAGUUCUUCCAUGGUCUAUAUAAUCACCAGACAUCUCAC
RNAcentral lists this long non-coding RNA (2654 nucleotides) under Salmo salar (Atlantic salmon). RNAcentral describes it as "lncRNA (ENSSSAG00000084669.1)". Lineage: Eukaryota; Metazoa; Chordata; Actinopteri; Salmoniformes; Salmonidae. The record is from RNAcentral.